UACGUAGGGUGCAAGCGUUGUCCGGAAUUAUUGGGCGUAAAGAGCUCGUAGGCGGUCUGUCGCGUCGGAUGUGAAAACCCAGGGCUCAACCCUGGGCCUGCAUUCGAUACGGGCAGACUAGAGUUCGGUAGGGGAGACUGGAAUUCCUGGUGUAGCAGUGAAAUGCGUAGAUAUCAGGAGGAACACCGAUGGCGAAGGCAGGUCUCUGGGCUGACACUGACGCUCAUGCACGAAAGCGUGGGGAGCAAACAGG
RNAcentral lists this ribosomal RNA (253 nucleotides) under uncultured bacterium. Its description in RNAcentral is "partial 16S ribosomal RNA". It matches the Rfam family "Bacterial small subunit ribosomal RNA", at positions 524 to 776 of the family's 1533-position model. The record is from RNAcentral.